UACGUAGGGACCAAGCGUUGUUCGGAUUUACUGGGCGUAAAGGGCGCGUAGGCGGCAUGACAAGUCAGUUGUGAAAUCUCCGGGCUUAACUCGGAAAGGUCAACUGAUACUGUGCGACUAGAGUGCGGAAGGGGCAACUGGAAUUCUCGGUGUAGCGGUGAAAUGCGUAGAUAUCGAGAGGAACACCUGCGGCGAAGGCGGGUUGCUGGGCCGACACUGACGCUGAUGCGCGAAAGCGUGGGGAGCAAAAGGG
RNAcentral lists this ribosomal RNA (253 nucleotides) under uncultured bacterium. Its description in RNAcentral is "partial 16S ribosomal RNA". It matches the Rfam family "Bacterial small subunit ribosomal RNA", at positions 524 to 776 of the family's 1533-position model. The record is from RNAcentral.